GACGAACGCUGGCGGCGUGCUUAACACAUGCAAGUCGAGCGGUAAGGCCCUUUCGGGGGUACGACGAGCGGCGAACGGGUGAGUAACACGUGGGUGACCUGCCCUCCAGCUCUGGGAGUAAGCCUGGGAAACCGGGGUCUAAUACUGGAUAUGACUCCAUGACGCAUGUUGUGGGGUGGGAAAGCCUUGUGCGGCUGAGGAUGGGCCCGCGGCCUAUCAGCUUGUUGGUGGGGUGAUGGCCUACCAAGGCGACGACGGGUAGCCGGCCUGAGAGGGCGACCGGCCACACUGGGACUGAGACACGGCCCA
This 309-nucleotide ribosomal RNA is filed under the name uncultured bacterium. Its description in RNAcentral is "bacterial SSU rRNA". It matches the Rfam family "Bacterial small subunit ribosomal RNA", at positions 28 to 333 of the family's 1533-position model. The record is from RNAcentral.